CGAGAUGAGUUCUCCCUGACUCCUUGAGAGUCCUGAAGGAACGUUGAAGACGACGACGUUGAUAGGCCGGGUGUGUAAGCGCAGCGAUGCGUUGAGCUAACCGGUACUAAUGAACCGUGAGGCUUAAAAUU
Molecule: ribosomal RNA, 131 nt
Filed under: Escherichia coli
Lineage: Bacteria; Pseudomonadati; Pseudomonadota; Gammaproteobacteria; Enterobacterales; Enterobacteriaceae
Description: partial 23S ribosomal RNA
Rfam family: Bacterial large subunit ribosomal RNA
Source: RNAcentral